Molecule: ribosomal RNA, 1434 nt
Filed under: Spirochaeta cellobiosiphila
Lineage: Bacteria; Pseudomonadati; Spirochaetota; Spirochaetia; Spirochaetales; Spirochaetaceae
Description: 16S ribosomal RNA
Rfam family: Bacterial small subunit ribosomal RNA
Source: RNAcentral
UCCUGGCUCAGAACGAACGCUGGCGGCGCGUUUUAAGCAUGCAAGUCGAACGGGAUUCAAGUGCUUGCACUUGAUGAGAGUGGCGAACGGGUGAGUAACACGUAGGUGAUCUACCUAGAAGUUGGGGAUAGCUCAUGGAAACAUGGGGUAAUACCGAAUGAGCUUUUAGAACUAUGGUUUUAAAAGGAAAGGAGCUUAGGCUUCGCUUUUAGAUGAGCCUGCGCACUAUUAGCUAGUUGGUGGGGUAAGAGCCUACCAAGGCAACGAUAGUUAGCCGGCCUGAGAGGGUGACCGGCCACACUGGGACUGAGACACGGCCCAGACUCCUACGGGAGGCAGCAGCUAAGAAUCUUCCGCAAUGGUCGCAAGACUGACGGAGCGACGCCGCGUGGACGAAGAAUGUCGAGAGAUUGUAAAGUCCUUUUAUACAUGAGGAAUAACCCUUAGAGGAAAUGCUAGGGGGAUGACGUUAAUGUAUGAAUAAGCCCCGGCUAAUUACGUGCCAGCAGCCGCGGUAAUACGUAAGGGGCGAGCGUUGUUCGGAAUUAUUGGGCGUAAAGGGAGCGCAGGCUGUUUCAUAAGUCUGAUGUGAAAGACCGCAGCUUAACUGCGGAAACGCGUUGGAAACUGUGUAACUUGAAUCACGGAGGGGGAGAUGGAAUUCCUAGUGUAGGGGUGAAAUCUGUUGAUAUUAGGAAGAACACCGGAGGCGAAGGCGAUCUCCUGGCCGAUGAUUGACGCUGAGGCUCGAAAGCGUAGGGAGCGAACAGGAUUAGAUACCCUGGUAGUCUACGCCGUAAACGAUGUGCACUUGGUGUUGGGGAGUUAUUCUCAGUGCCGAAGUAAACGCGAUAAGUGCACCGCCUGGGGAGUAUGCCGGCAACGGUGAAACUCAAAGGAAUUGACGGGGGCCCGCACAAGCGGUGGAGCAUGUGGUUUAAUUCGAUGAUACGCGAGGAACCUUACCAGGGCUUGACAUAUACAGGACGGCAGUAGAGAUAUUGCUUCCCUUCGGGGCUUGUAUACAGGUGCUGCAUGGUUGUCGUCAGCUCGUGCCGUGAGGUGUUGGGUUAAGUCCCGCAACGAGCGCAACCCCUAUUGUCUGUUGCCAGCAUUAAGUUGGGGACUCAGGCAAGACUGCCGGUGACAAACCGGAGGAAGGUGGGGAUGACGUCAAAUCAUCAUGGCCCUUAUGUCCUGGGCUACACACGUGCUACAAUGGCCAGUACAGAGUGAUGCGAAGCCGCGAGGUGGAGCCAAACGCAGAAAGCUGGUCUCAGUUCGGAUUGGAGUCUGAAACUCGACUCCAUGAAGGUGGAAUCGCUAGUAAUCGCGCAUCAGCAUGGCGCGGUGAAUACGUUCCCGGGCCUUGUACACACCGCCCGUCACACCACCCGAGUUGGGGGUACCCGAAGUCGCUCGUCUAACCUGCAA